GACGAACGCUGGCGGCGUGCUUAACACAUGCAAGUCGAACGGAAAGGCCCUGCUUUUGUGGGGUGCUCGAGUGGCGAACGGGUGAGUAACACGUGAGUAACCUGCCCUUGACUUUGGGAUAACUUCAGGAAACUGGGGCUAAUACCGGAUAGGAGCUCCUGCUGCAUGGUGGGGGUUGGAAAGUUUCGGCGGUUGGGGAUGGACUCGCGGCUUAUCAGCUUGUUGGUGGGGUAGUGGCUUACCAAGGCUUUGACGGGUAGCCGGCCUGCGAGGGUGACCGGCCACAUUGGGACUGAGAUACGGCCCAGACUCCUACGGGAGGCAGCAGUGGGGAAUAUUGCACAAUGGGCGGAAGCCUGAUGCAGCAACGCCGCGUGCGGGAUGACGGCCUUCGGGUUGUAAACCGCUUUCGCCUGUGACGAAGUGUGAGUGACGGUAAUGGGUAAAGAAGCACCGGCUAACUACGUG
Molecule: ribosomal RNA, 468 nt
Filed under: uncultured bacterium
Lineage: Bacteria
Description: partial 16S ribosomal RNA
Rfam family: Bacterial small subunit ribosomal RNA
Source: RNAcentral